AAGGUAGCAUAAUCAUUAGUUUCUUAAUUGGAAGCUGGAAUGAAAGGUUGGAUGAGAAAAUAACUGUCUCUAUUUAAGUUUAUUAGAAUUUUAUUUUUAAGUAAAAAAGCUUAAAUAAUAAUUGAAGACGAGAAGACCCUAUAGAGUUUUAUAAAUAUAGUUAUUUAAAAUUUUAGUAUUAUAAAAGUUAAUAGCUUAUUUUAUUUGAUUGGGGUGAUUGAAAAAUUUAAUAAACUUUUUYUUUACAGAAACAUUAAUUUAUGAUUAAUUGAUCCUUUUUUUAAGAUUAUAAGAUAAAAUUAC
This 303-nucleotide ribosomal RNA is filed under the name Rhinusa linariae. Its description in RNAcentral is "partial 16S ribosomal RNA". The record is from RNAcentral. Lineage: Eukaryota; Metazoa; Arthropoda; Insecta; Coleoptera; Curculionidae.